GGAGCUGCAGGAUAGCAAGAAACCAGGUGAUGUGCAAGAAAGAAGAAAAAGAAGGAGCCAAGAUGGUGAAACUAGGGAUUCAUACCCGGUCUGAGUCUGAAGCUGAUAAAGAGAUAACGAGAUAAAUGGGACAAAAGAACAGAAGCUACCUGUGGUUGGAUUUGGGGAAGGUCAGAAAAUCCCAGGACUUCGAGAACACCAGAGUGCAUUGGCACAAGUGCAGUCACUAAGUAAGAAUUGUUCUUCCCUUUAAGUGGUUUUAGAGAGACUGAACUCCUGGUGCCAAAGUAAUAAUAAUCACAACAACGAUGAACGACCUACUAAACAUCCUGCAGUGAAAACGUCAA
Molecule: long non-coding RNA, 347 nt
Organism: Peromyscus eremicus (cactus mouse)
Lineage: Eukaryota; Metazoa; Chordata; Mammalia; Rodentia; Cricetidae
Exons: 2
Source: RefSeq, a predicted model, not a curated record